GAUGAACGCUGGCGGUAUGCCUAACACAUGCAAGUCGUACGAGAGUUUUUAACUCUAGUGGCGGACGGGUGAGUAACACGUGAGAAUUUACCUUUAGGAGGGGGAUAACAAUUGGAAACGAAUGCUAAUACCCCAUAUGCUUUUGAGUGAAAUGGAUUUAUAUUUAUCCGCCUAGAGAGAAGCUCGCGGCUGAUUAGCUUGUUGGUAAGGUAAGAGCUUACCAAGGCGACGAUCAGUAUCUGGUUUGAGAGGACGAUCAGACACACUGGAACUGAGACACGGUCCAGACUCCUACGGGAGGCAGCAGUGGGGAAUUUUCCGCAAUGGGCGAAAGCCUGACGGAGCAAUACCGCGUGAGGGAAGACUGCCUAUGGGUUGUAAACCUCUUUUUUCAGGGAGGAAUAAAAUGACGUUAC
RNAcentral lists this ribosomal RNA (416 nucleotides) under uncultured phototrophic eukaryote. RNAcentral's name for it is "bacterial SSU rRNA". It matches the Rfam family "Bacterial small subunit ribosomal RNA", at positions 28 to 478 of the family's 1533-position model. The record is from RNAcentral.